GACGAACGCUGGCGGCGUGCUUAACACAUGCAAGUCGAACGGAAAGGCCCUGCUUUUUUGGGGUGCUCGAGUGGCGAACGGGUGAGUAACACGUGAGUAACCUGCCCUUGACUUUGGGAUAACUUCAGGAAACUGGGGCUAAUACCGGAUAGGAGCUCCCGCUGCAUGGUGGGGGUUGGAAAGUUUCGGCGGUUGGGGAUGGACUCGCGGCUUAUCAGCUUGUUGGUGGGGUAGUGGCUUACCAAGGCUUUGACGGGUAGCCGGCCUGAGAGGGUGACCGGCCACAUUGGGACUGCGAUACGGACCAGACUCCUACGGGAGGCAGCAGUGGGGAAUAUUGCACAAUGAGCGGAAGCCUGAUGCAGCAACGCCGCGUGCGGGAUGACGGCCUGCUGGUUGUGAACCGCUUUCGCCUGUGACGAAGCGUGAGUGACGGUAAUGGGUAAAGAAGCACCGGCUAACUACGUG
This 468-nucleotide ribosomal RNA is filed under the name uncultured bacterium. RNAcentral's name for it is "partial 16S ribosomal RNA". It matches the Rfam family "Bacterial small subunit ribosomal RNA", at positions 28 to 507 of the family's 1533-position model. The record is from RNAcentral.